GUUCGGCUGACGAGUCUCAAGCGAGACGAAACGCACGUCCUGUAU
RNAcentral lists this non-coding RNA (45 nucleotides) under Schistosoma margrebowiei. Lineage: Eukaryota; Metazoa; Platyhelminthes; Trematoda; Strigeidida; Schistosomatidae. The record is from RNAcentral.